CAAGUCAGGACCCUCUGGCCUUUGUUAGUCUUGUAUCAUUUUAACUUUUAGUUUCUUGUGUACAAUUUGGAGUUUAGUAUGGUGUUCAUUAUCACUGGACCAGUAUAUAUUUGUUUAGGGGCCAGCUGAAGGACGCCUCCGGGUGCGAGAGUUUCUCGUUGCAUUGAAGACCUGUUGGUGACCUUCUGCUGUUGUCUGCUCUAUGGUCGGGUUGUUGUCUCUUUGGCACAUUCCCCAUUUCCAUUCUCAAUUUUA
This 255-nucleotide long non-coding RNA is filed under the name Mytilus galloprovincialis (Mediterranean mussel). The record is from RNAcentral. Lineage: Eukaryota; Metazoa; Mollusca; Bivalvia; Mytilida; Mytilidae.